This 491-nucleotide ribosomal RNA is filed under the name uncultured bacterium. RNAcentral describes it as "partial 16S ribosomal RNA". It matches the Rfam family "Bacterial small subunit ribosomal RNA", at positions 29 to 507 of the family's 1533-position model. The record is from RNAcentral.
GUGCACGCUGGCGGUAGGCCUAACCCAUGCAGGUCGAACGGCAGCACAGUAAGAGCUUGCUCUUACGGGUGGCGAGUGGCGGACGGGUGAGGAAUACAUCGGAAUCUACUUUUUCGUGGGGGAUAACGUAGGGAAACUUACGCUAAUACCGCAUACGACCUACGGGUGAAAGCAGGGGAUCUUCGGACCUUGCGCGAUUGAAUGAGCCGAUGUCGGAUUAGCUAGUUGGCGGGGUAAAGGCCCACCAAGGCGACGAUCCGUAGCUGGUCUGAGAGGAUGAUCAGCCACACUGGAACUGAGACACGGUCCAGACUCCUACGGGAGGCAGCAGUGGGGAAUAUUGGACAAUGGGCGCAAGCCUGAUCCAGCCAUACCGCGUGGGUGAAGAAGGCCUUCGGGUUGUAAAGCCCUUUUGUUGGGAAAGAAAAGCAGCAGGUUAAUACCCCGCUGUUCUGACGGUACCCAAAGAAUAAGCACCGGCUAACUUCGUG